AUCUAUCUAGUAUCAACCUUAGUAUAAGUGACUUCCAAUCACCCGGUCUUGGUUAAAGUCCAAGGAUAGAUA
This 72-nucleotide transfer RNA is filed under the name Rhabdosargus sarba (goldlined seabream). RNAcentral describes it as "tRNA-Gly". It matches the Rfam family "tRNA". Rfam says of the family: Transfer RNA (tRNA) molecules are approximately 80 nucleotides in length. Their secondary structure includes four short double-helical elements and three loops (D, anti-codon, and T loops). The record is from RNAcentral. Lineage: Eukaryota; Metazoa; Chordata; Actinopteri; Spariformes; Sparidae.